UACGAAGGGUGCAAGCGUUACUCGGAAUUACUGGGCGAAAGCGUGCGUAGGUGGUGAGUUAAGUCUGUCGUGAAAGCCCCGGGCUCAACCUGGGAAUGGCGAUGGAUACUGGCUCGCUAGAGUGCGGUAGAGGAGGAGUGGAAUUCCCGGUGUAGCAGUGAAAUGCGUAGAGAUCGGGAGGAACAUCAGUUGCGAAGGCGGCUCUCUGGACCAGCACUGACACUGAGGCACGAAAGCGUGGGGAGCAAACAGG
Molecule: ribosomal RNA, 253 nt
Filed under: uncultured bacterium
Lineage: Bacteria
Description: partial 16S ribosomal RNA
Rfam family: Bacterial small subunit ribosomal RNA
Source: RNAcentral